ACAACAACAACUCCAUAGAAUGCGAGCACUGUCAGAGAUGGCAGCACUUCGACUGUAGCGGCUUCACCAGAGGAGAAUUUGAUAUAGCAUAUACCUAAAAAUUGUCUGCUCAUCAUCAUUUUUACUACAAACAAUCCACAUACAUAUACUGAAAUAGUUAUGACUAUAAAUGCACUGAUUUAUAUGCAAGUCUAAUAAAAGAUCCAAGUGUUUCAGAAAUGUUACAGUGGUUUUACUGUAAAGUGAACGUGCAACAAACAAUCUGUUGUGACCACAGGAUCUGGAAUGUAGUUAGAAAUAUAUUUUAUGUCACAUUAUCAGGCAGGGCAGUUUUAAAUAUUCCUCUUCCCUCAAAUGUUCAAUAAAUAAAUAAUCUACAGCAUAAAAUUAUUAAAAAAGUGAUAUAUUUCAGGAAUAAAAGUGGCUCGCCGACAAUCCUUUAUGUACCAGCCAUACUUCAAGAAACGUAUCUCAUAUUUACGACUCACAGACCAACCUAAAAUCUCAAGAGCAAGAUAUCGUCCCUUGCUAAGUAACACCAUUCCUGCGUGUUUGAACCCAGAGAUGGUGGGGCCGCUUCGUCCUCUGCAGCUGGGGGAGGAAAUCACUUCAGCUGAAGGCCUCCUUGAUCGGAGUGGCGGGUCGUGCCCUUCUUGAAUUAUACCCUGGCAUUUGCCAUACAACUCAUUUCAUCAAUUGCAGGUCUGUUGUACUGAUGCUCAUCUGCACCAAGAUGACCCAAAAGCCAUACAUUGACUGUGUGUGAAGUAUCCCUAUUAGUCUUAAAGCUCCACCAGCACUUUAGUAUAUGGGUUCACUCAAUAUGAGACCUUCCACAGCAUUUCAUGUUAAAGAGACUCAUUUUCAGGCCUUUCAUUGUUUAAUAUAAUUAGCAACUGAAUGAUAACGCUGUUCAUAAGAUGGUAAAUGGUGAUCUACAGCAAUUAAAUUGGAAAUAUACAUAUAUUUGGUGAUGAGUCUUAAAAGCAAUAUGGUUUAGUGCCAGGAACUUGCUAUUGGUUUGCUGAGAAUGAUGUGAAUGCCACUCAGGUUCAUUAUUACAAAACACUAACUUCAAGCCUGAAUAUGCAAUUCUACUCAUUAUCUGACUCAUUCAUAGCUGUAAUUAAUGUACUGAUCAUUCCACACUUCACUUUUGAAACAGAGAUUAUUGUGAACACUUUGGUGUCACACUGGUACAACCUGAAUUAAAAAUAAACUGUUAAAUGAUGGGAAUAUUUCAGAUACACUACUUAUAUGAUUCAACUGGCACCAGAAAGUAUUUCUAUACUCACUUGCAUUGUCCAAUUGCCUAUUGCAAAUCAAAUGAUCUCUGGGCUUAAAAUAAAAUAAGGUGAAGGAA
Molecule: long non-coding RNA, 1363 nt
Organism: Zootermopsis nevadensis
Lineage: Eukaryota; Metazoa; Arthropoda; Insecta; Blattodea; Termopsidae
Source: RefSeq, a predicted model, not a curated record